GGGGCUGUGGGGUAGCCUGGUAGCCUAUGAGGUUUGGGGCUUCAUGACCGCGGUUCGAAUCCGCGCAGCCCCA
Molecule: transfer RNA, 73 nt
Filed under: Candidatus Pacearchaeota archaeon
Lineage: Archaea; Nanobdellati
Description: tRNA-Pro
Rfam family: tRNA
About the family: Transfer RNA (tRNA) molecules are approximately 80 nucleotides in length. Their secondary structure includes four short double-helical elements and three loops (D, anti-codon, and T loops). Further hydrogen bonds mediate the characteristic L-shaped molecular structure. tRNAs have two regions of fundamental functional importance: the anti-codon, which is responsible for specific mRNA codon recognition, and the 3' end, to which the tRNAs corresponding amino acid is attached (by aminoacyl-tRNA synthetases). tRNAs cope with the degeneracy of the genetic code in two manners: having more than one tRNA (with a specific anti-codon) for a particular amino acid; and 'wobble' base-pairing, i.e. permitting non-standard base-pairing at the 3rd anti-codon position.
Source: RNAcentral